Molecule: ribosomal RNA, 750 nt
Filed under: uncultured bacterium
Lineage: Bacteria
Description: bacterial SSU rRNA
Rfam family: Bacterial small subunit ribosomal RNA
Source: RNAcentral
GGGAAGGCAUAAUGGCAGUCGAACGAGCACUUGAGAUUGAAUCUUCGGAUGAGAACUCUUGUGACUGAGUGGCGGACGGGUGAGUAACGCGUGGGUAACCUACCUCAUACAGGGGGAUAACAGUUGGAAACGACCGCUAAUACCGCAUAACCCGCUAGUAUCGCAUGAUACAGACGGAAAAGAUUUAUCGGUAUGAGAUGGACCCGCGUCUGAUUAGCCAGUUGGCAGGGUAACGGCCUACCAAAGCGACGAUCAGUAGCCGGCCUGAGAGGGUGAACGGCCACAUUGGGACUGAGACACGGCCCAAACUCCUACGGGAGGCAGCAGUGGGGAAUAUUGCACAAUGGGGGAAACCCUGAUGCAGCGACGCCGCGUGAGUGAGGAAGUAUUUCGGUAUGUAAAGCUCUAUCAGCAGGGAAGAAAAUGACGGUACCUGACUAAGAAGCCCCGGCUAACUACGUGCCAGCAGCCGCGGUAAUACGUAGGGGGCAAGCGUUAUCCGGAUUUACUGGGUGUAAAGGGAGCGUAGACGGCUAAUCAAGUCAGAAGUGAAAACCCAGGGCUCAACCUUGGGACUGCUUUUGAAACUGAGUAGCUAGAGUGCAGGAGAGGUAAGCGGAAUUCCUAGUGUAGCGGUGAAAUGCGUAGAUAUUAGGAGGAACACCAGUGGCGAAGGCGGCUUACUGGACUGUAACUGACGUUGAGGCUCGAAAGCGUGGGGAGCAAACAGGAUUAGAUACCCUGGUAGUC